This 156-nucleotide ribosomal RNA is filed under the name Coenagrion sp. PVG-2012. RNAcentral describes it as "partial 28S ribosomal RNA". It matches the Rfam family "Eukaryotic large subunit ribosomal RNA", at positions 708 to 841 of the family's 3401-position model. Lineage: Eukaryota; Metazoa; Arthropoda; Insecta; Odonata; Coenagrionidae. The record is from RNAcentral.
CCAUAGGCGCAAUGAAAGUGAAGGCCGCUCUCGGGCGGCCGAGGGAGGACGGGGCUCCGGCCCCCGCACUCCCGGGGCGUCUGAUCCCUCAUCGCGAGGGGAGGCGCACCCAGAGCGCACACGUUGGGACCCGAAAGAUGGUGAACUAUGCCUGGC